CAGCCUAACACAUGCAAGUCGAACGGUAGCACAGAGAGCUUGCUCUCGGGUGACGAGUGGCGGACGGGUGAGUAAUGUCUGGGAAACUGCCCGAUGGAGGGGGAUAACUACUGGAAACGGUAGCUAGUACCGCAUAACGUCUUCGGACCAAAGUGGGGGACCUUCGGGCCUCACACCAUCGGAUGUGCCCAGAUGGGAUUAGCUAGUAGGUGGGGUAAUGGCUCACCUAGGCGACGAUCCCUAGCUGGUCUGAGAGGAUGACCAGCCACACUGGAACUGAGACACGGUCCAGACUCCUACGGGAGGCAGCAGUGGGGAAUAUUGCACAAUGGGCGCAAGCCUGAUGCAGCCAUGCCGCGUGUAUGAAGAAGGCCUUCGGGUUGUAAAGUACUUUCAGCGGGGAGGAAGGCGAUGUGGUUAAUAACCGCAUCGAUUGACGUUACCCGCAGAAGAAGCACCGGCUAACUCCGUGCCAGCAGCCGCGGUAAUACGGAGGGUGCAAGCGUUAAUCGGAAUUACUGGGCGUAAAGCGCACGCAGGCGGUCUGUCCAAGUCGGAUGUGAAAUUCCCCCG
This 573-nucleotide ribosomal RNA is filed under the name uncultured bacterium. RNAcentral's name for it is "bacterial SSU rRNA". It matches the Rfam family "Bacterial small subunit ribosomal RNA", at positions 43 to 607 of the family's 1533-position model. The record is from RNAcentral.